UCAAUACCGGAUGAUAUACCGACGCGGAGUCGCGAUGGUAUCAAAGGCGGUGCAAGCUGUCGCAGGAGGAUGAGUUCGCGUUCCAUUAGCCAGUUGGCGGGGUAACGGCCCACCAAAGCUACGAUGGAUAGCCGGCCUGAGAGGGUGAUCGGCCACACUGGGACUGAGAUACGGCCCAGACUCCUACGGGAGGCAGCAGUAGGGAAUAUUGCGCAAUGGACGCAAGUCUGACGCAGCAACGCCGCGUGAGUGAUGAAGCAUCUUGGUGUGUAAAGCUCUGUCAGCGGGGAAGAAACGUCGGGGUAGUCACUGACCUCGGCCUGACGGUACCCGCAGAGGAAGUCACGGCUAACUCCGUGCCAGCAGCCGCGGUAAUACGGGGGUGACAAGCGUUGUUCGGAUUUAUUGGGCGUAAAGGGCGCGUAGGUGGGCCUUCAAGUCAAAUGUGAAACCCCCGGGCUUAACCCGGGGCCUGCAUGUGAUACUGUUGGUCUUGAGUACGGAAGAGGAGAAUAGAAUUCCAGGUGUAGCGGUGAAAUGCGUAGAUAUCUGGAAGAAUACCAGUAGCGAAGGCGGUUCUCUGGGCCGAUACUGACACUAAAGCGCGAAGGCUUGGGUAGCAAACAGGAUUAGAUACCCUGGUAGUCCAAGCGGUAAACGAUGAGCACUAGGUGUCGGGGGUAUCGACCCCCCCGGUGUCGCAGCUAACGCAUUAAGUGCUCCGCCUGGGGAGUACGAUCGCAAGAUUGAAACUCAAAGGAAUUGACGGGGGCCCGCACAAGCGGUGGAGUAUGUGGUUUAAUUCGA
This 807-nucleotide ribosomal RNA is filed under the name uncultured Bacillota bacterium. RNAcentral describes it as "bacterial SSU rRNA". It matches the Rfam family "Bacterial small subunit ribosomal RNA", at positions 163 to 954 of the family's 1533-position model. The record is from RNAcentral. Lineage: Bacteria; Bacillati; Bacillota.